UCCUUUGUGACGACAGAACCAAAAUAUGUAGUGAAUUGGUCUGCCAUCUCUUUAUUCCACAUUUAUAACUACCCCUGUUUCUGAUUGUAAGGGAUUUGUUUUCAUUAAUCUGUUUUGCUCUUCAUUAUAUCUUUAGGAACUUGUAUAAUUUGUGUGUAUAUACCCCAGAAACUUACUCUUACUCUUUAUUUUUCCCCUCUUAACCAAUCCCUUCGUCCUGUUUUGGUGAAAUAUGAACUGCUCCCAGUCUUCAGAUCUGCUGUCCAUUUUAGCCAAUUUGUACCCCUCUUCCUUGGAUCCAGUACGACCCCUAAUGUCCCUGGUUAGCCAUGGCAGGGCCACCUUUCCUGUUUCAUUUUGUGUCUGACAGGAAAGAACAACAGUUGUAGUUCCUCCAAGUGCUCUUUAAAUGUUUGUUAUUCCUUUAAAGUUAUAUUCCCUAAUUUAUUGUAGCAUGAUCACUUCUCAUACCAUCGUAAUUUCCUCUGUUUAGAUUUUGGCCCCCAGUCUCAGAAUCAACUCUGUCGCAUUCCAUCUUAAUGAGGCGUUUUAUCACUGAGUUCUUCUUUCUCCCACAAGCGGCCUCGCACGGCUAGAUUGCUAAUGAUUCCCUUCACAUUACACAGUUAAUAUUUUGAAAUUAAAGUUGCCACAGUCUCAGAAGACCUUAGGACUGCUCUGUCACUUGGGGACCGAGAGAGAGAAGGCUAAUGUGCCUUAACGUGAGGGUCAACAUGUCUCAGGCGGGCAAGGUUAAGAAUGUGGGAUCUUCAUGGUGACCUCAGGCAGGAUAUGAAUUGAGUACAUGCUGUGGGCAUCACUCUGAAUCGCAAAUCAGCCAUCCAGUUAACUGAGCUAACCCACUCCCAGCCAUUCGACAAUAAGCAGUCGAGAUGGCCUAUCUCCAUUUGGGCCCUCAAUGUAUUGAUCCGAGAAUGUGUAUGAGAUGGUUUUUUGGAAUUUCUCCUCUAUGGUAUCGUUACUGAGUUGACUUGCUCAAUCUAUGUGCAGAUUGAAGUCACCCACAAUAACCAAGAUACAGGAGCAGAAUUAGGUCAUUCGGCCCAUAGUUUCUGUUCCACCACUUGAUCAUGGCUGACAUGUUUCUCAGCUCCAUUCUCUUGCCUUCUGCUUUCUCCCGUACCCUUGAUGCCCUCACAAAUGAAGAACCUAUCUAUCUCUGUCAUAAAGACACUCCACAGCCCUCUACGGCAGUGAGCUUUACAAAAUCACCAGUCUCUGGCUGAAGAAACCCCUCCUCAUCUCAGUUCUAAAGGGUUGUCCCUGUACUGUGAGAUGGUCCCCUUGGGUUCUAGUCUCUCCGACUAGUUGUAACAUUUUCUCCACGUCCAUCUGUCUAGGCCUCUCAGUAUUCUGAAAGUUUCAAUCACAUAGUCAUAGUCAUACAGCAUGGAAACUAGUCCAUGCCGACCAUGUGCUGAAACUAAACUAGUCCCACCUGCCUGUACUUAGCCCAUAUCCCUCUAAACAUAUCUUAUUCGUGUACUUAUCCAAAUGUCUUUUAAAAAUUGUAAUUGUAUUCGCAUCCACACAGGAGCCACUCUCUGUGUAACAAAAAAAAGUUGCCCUUCAUGUCUUUGUUUUUCUCGUCUCGCCUUAAAAAAAAAUGCCCUCUAGUUUUGAAAUCUCCCACCCUGUGGAAAAGAUACCUGUAUUUACCUUAUCUCUACCCCUUGAGGGCAGGACUUGUACAGUUAACGAUAGGGCCCUGGGUAGUGUUAUACCUGAGUAUCUUUGUACUUAAGAUGGUGCUGUAAGUGGCAACUUGUAAACUUUUCACUAUACUUGUAUGUAUGACAAUAAAGGUAAUUCAAUUUGAUUUUAAAAAAUGCCCCCUCGUCUUGAAAUCCCCACCGAAGGGAAAGGACACCUGCCAUUUGACACCCCUCAGGAUUUUUAUAAACCUCCAAGUUCAACCUCAACCUCUUGCGCCCUGAGAAAGAAGUCCGAGCCGAUUCAGCCUCUCCGCAUAACUCAAUUUCUCUUUUCCCAGCAACAUCCUGGUAAAUCUCUUCUGAACCCUCUCCAGCUUACUAAUAUCCUUCCUUUAGCAGGGUGACCAGAACUGGACACAGUACUCUCGAUGAAGCCUCACCACCAUCUUGUACAACUUCAACAAGAUGCCCCAACUCCUGUACUGAAAGGCGAUCAGAAGUGGACACAUUACCCCAGAAGGCGCCUCACUGACGUUCUGUACAAGCUCAACAUAACAUCCCAACUCCUCUCAAACGUCUGAGCAAUGAAGGGUGACCAAAACUGUACACAAUACUCCAAGUGCAGCCUCACCCACGACUUAUACAACUGUAAGACAACGUCCCAACUGAUGUGCUCAAUGCCUUGACCAAUGAAGGCCAGCAUGCUAAAUGCCUUCUUCACCACCUUGUCAACCUGUGACGCCGCUUUCAAUGAACAAUGUACUCGUACUCCUGGGUCCCUCUCUUCCACAACACUCCUCAGGACCUUACCAUGAACUGCAUAAGUCCUAUCUUGAUUUGAUGUUCCAGAGUGCAACACCUCAUACCUAUCUGUAUUGAAUUGCAUUUGCCAAUCCUCAAACCACUUCCCCAUCUGAUCUAGAUCCCUCUGUAAUUUUU
This is a long non-coding RNA of Rhincodon typus (whale shark), 2615 nucleotides long. RefSeq lists it as uncharacterized. The transcript is spliced from 3 exons. NCBI's taxonomy places the organism in Eukaryota, Metazoa, Chordata, Chondrichthyes, Orectolobiformes, Rhincodontidae. The record is from RefSeq and is a predicted model, not a curated record.